AGAGUUGUAUCCUGGCUCAGAACGAACGCUGGCGGCAGGCCUAACACAUGCAAGUCGAGCGCGCCUUCGGGUGAGCGGCGGACGGGUUAGUAACGCGUGGGAACGUGCCCUUCUCUACGGAAUAGCCUCUGGAAACGGAGAGUAAUACCGUAUACGCCCUUUGGGGGAAAGAUUUAUCGGAGAAGGAUCGGCCCGCGUUAGAUUAGGUAGUUGGUGGGGUAACGGCCUACCAAGCCUACGAUCUAUAGCUGGUUUUAGAGGAUGAUCAGCAACACUGGGACUGAGACACGGCCCAGACUCCUACGGGAGGCAGCAGUGGGGAAUCUUAGACAAUGGGGGCAACCCUGAUCUAGCCAUGCCGCGUGAGUGAUGAAGGCCUUAGGGUCGUAAAGCUCUUUCGCCUGUGAUGAUAAUGACAGUAGCAGGUAAAGAAACCCCGGCUAACUCCGUGCCAGCAGCCGCGGUAAUACGGAGGGGGUUAGCGUUGUUCGGAAUUACUGGGCGUAAAGCGCGCGUAGGCGGAUUAGAAAGUUGGGGGUGAAAUCCCGGGGCUCAACCCCGGAACUGCCUCCAAAACUGCUAGUCUAGAGUUCGAGAGAGGUGAGUGGAAUUCCGAGUGUAGAGG
This 625-nucleotide ribosomal RNA is filed under the name uncultured Alphaproteobacteria bacterium. RNAcentral describes it as "bacterial SSU rRNA". It matches the Rfam family "Bacterial small subunit ribosomal RNA", at positions 8 to 681 of the family's 1533-position model. The record is from RNAcentral. Lineage: Bacteria; Pseudomonadati; Pseudomonadota; Alphaproteobacteria.